AAAGGCAGACAAAUAUGAGUGUGUACUUUGAAUUGGCAUGCGCAGCCACACUGGCUGAAGCCAUGAGAAGAUUUGAAAGAGGGGUGUGGGGGCCACCCCUUCGUUGUGAACAGUUUGAUUAGGGCCCUGGCUUUCUUUCUUUCUUUCUUUCUUUGUGAGAAGAUUUGAAAGAGGGGUGUGAACAGUUUGAUUAGGACCCUGGCUUUUUUUUUUUUUUUUUUUGCAUCUUCAUCUCUUUCCAUAUUCAUUACACUGCCUGAUCGUAGCUGAGCUAAUGCCAAAUAGCUUUCCCGUUAAUCUGAUUAAAUAAUAGCACAGGAUUGCGAUGUCAGUGCACCAGAGAUAGGGAGACAAUGUCUGUUGCAAAGCCGAAGCGGACCUGACGGGCAAGAGGCAGACCAUGAUAAGCUUGAAAUAGACCACAGCAGUGGCUGCAGAAAGGAGAGUCUCACAGAGCAAGGUUAUGGCUGCCAGUGGACUACAGCAAGAACUGGACAGAAAACAAGACGAAAGAGAGAAAAGGACAGGAUGCUUGGCUAGAGACAUCAUGCAAGACAUGGGCCAGCACCACAUCUUUGCCCUCUGCAUUCCGAAAGGUGGCUACACGUUCUUCGAUGGAUCACAUCAAAGCCCUAAAUCAGAACACAGAUCAGUCUGUCCCAAUCACAGUGGAUUUUGUAAGACUACAAAGUUACUGUGUAAGUAUAUUUCUUCAUAACUUCAGUUGACCAUGUGAUUAGAAUGGAAUGGUGAUGAAAGCAGGCUAAGGGUCUAAUUGCAACUUUCUAGACAGCAUGCCAUUAAAAGAUGGAAGAACGUAAAGGCUGGGCGAUGUCUAUACAGCAUAGGUCUCAUAAUUAGAACGUUAUAGUAGGACCCCUGUAUAUGUGGGUUCAGUACCCACUGAUUCGCUUAUCCAUGAUCUG
This 926-nucleotide long non-coding RNA is filed under the name Pogona vitticeps (central bearded dragon). RNAcentral's name for it is "lncRNA (ENSPVIG00000009021.1)". The record is from RNAcentral. Lineage: Eukaryota; Metazoa; Chordata; Lepidosauria; Squamata; Agamidae.